Molecule: ribosomal RNA, 106 nt
Filed under: Oryctolagus cuniculus (rabbit)
Lineage: Eukaryota; Metazoa; Chordata; Mammalia; Lagomorpha; Leporidae
Source: RNAcentral
GUCUAUGGCCACACCACCCUGAACACGCUCGAUCUCAUCUGAUCUCAGAAGCUAAGCAGGGUCAGGCCUGGUUAGUACUUAGAUAGGAGAAUGGCUAUCAUUUAAA